RNAcentral lists this long non-coding RNA (1960 nucleotides) under Gossypium barbadense (sea-island cotton). RNAcentral describes it as "long non-coding RNA (GBAR_LNC019293)". The record is from RNAcentral. Lineage: Eukaryota; Viridiplantae; Streptophyta; Magnoliopsida; Malvales; Malvaceae.
UUGCCACCAUCAUUUCAUGAAAGGAAAGCUUUCUUCCUUUUACAAUUUGGUCAUUCCUACCAUUUUUAACCAAAACAAGCUUAAAUCCUUCCAAAAUUUCCAUAGAUUUUUUUACUGAAAUUGAUAGAAAAAUCUUAUAACAAGCUUGGUUUCUUGAAAAGAGAGAUUAUGAUUAUCUUGGAGGAGAGAGAAAAGUGAAGUCAGAGUUUAAAGUAAGGAAGUAAGGUAAAAAUGGUGAGAUUUUGUCAUGGUUUCCUUACUAGUUUCAUUCAAAGUGUAUGAAAAUAAUAUUUAAUCCAUGUCUUAACAUUAGAACUUGUGUGUAUGUGGUAUGUUAAUAAAGUGAAAGAGAAGAGAAGUGAUUGUCAAGGGGUUGAUGAAGGAAAGAGGUAGCAAAGGAGUGAGAAAAGGAAGAAGAAAGUAAAUCCAAGCAUUUAAGUGUAAGUACUUCAAGAAUUUUGUCUUACCCAAUUAAAUCUUAGGAAAUAUUCAAGUUGUUAGAAUAAUAUUUGUAUGACUAAAUUAUUAAUAAUAUGAUAAUAUUUAUUAUGAAAUUGAAUAAGAAGUAUUAUUGAUAUGAAAAGAAUUUCAAUGAUAAAGUGAAGUGGGGUUUUGGUAAAAAAGUACUAAAUUGCAAAGUAUACAAAAGAAUUUAUAUGUGAAAUAAAUAAUAUUUUAGUGGACUUAAAUGAAGUAUUAUAUGGUAGUGAGUUAAAUUCAAAGUGAUAUUGAAGUAGAAUCUAUAGUGGUUAUUGAUUUUUUUAUUUUGCUAAGAACGAAAUUGUGAAGUAUUCAAAAGUGACUGUGUACUAAAAUAUUGAAAUAAAAUUUUUAAGUAAGGCUAUAUAUGGAAGUAAAAUAAAUUUUGAAGUUGUAAGAUAGUUAUUAUUGAAAUAUAGGUAAGCAUGGACUAAAUUGAAAAGAUUAUAAAAAUAAGUGUAGCAAAUUUAAUGUAAUGAGGACUAAUUUGAAAUGUAUGUAAAAAUUAGAAUUAUGAAAUAAAAUACUUUAAUAAAGAGUUUGUAACAGCCCAUUUUCAGUGGUGUCAGAAACUGUGGUUUUGUGACCACAAUUCCGACGAGUGAGUAAACAUUUUAAUGUUUAUUUAUUGUUUAUAGGGUUAUACUAAAUUUUUGUUAAGAAAAUUUAAAGUUUAAAUAGUUAAUUAGGUACAAAAGUUAAAUUCUACUAAUUAAAUGAAUCGAAUGGCCUUAGAAAUGCACGUUGUUAAAUCUAUAAGGUAAUUAUGCCAUUUAUAUUGGUGGUGGACAAUGAUGGACAUAGGUUGGUUAUUUUAUAAGUGUUAAUUAAAUGGUAAAGUAGUAAAACAAUAAAUAAAAGCAUGUACAAGUAAAGUAAUGCUAUCAUCUUUUUCCAUUUUCUUGUGUUUGCUGAAAAUCACCAUUGUUGAGCUUGAGAAAAUUCAGCCAAGUUUCCUUUGGUGCAUGGUGAGAUUUUUGAACCCCGUUUUUAAUCACAUAUGUAAAGUAAUGUGAGUAAAUGUAACUCAUUUCAUGUUGUAUCCUAUGUUUCAUAGAUGAUGAAUUGUUAAGUUAUUUACUACUGAUGUGAAUUGUGGUGUUUAGAAAAGUCAAGUACUAUUUGAUUUAAUGAGCAUGAUUGAAUGAUUAAAUAUUAAGGAACGGUAAGUUUAAGUUUCUCUUAUACAAACUUACUAAGCAUUAAAUGCUUACGUAGUUGUUUUCCUCUAUUUUAUAGAUCAUCAGAAAGCUCAAUCGGUUGGAAUCUUGUCAGAGCCUAUCACAUUAUCCGCCAAUCAUUUUGGUAGUUUUUUAACGUUCUGGUUACGGUUAUAAAUGACAUGUAUAAGGCUCAUAUGUAAUAGGUGUAUUUGUAUAUGCUUGGAUACUUAUUACAAAUAUUAUGUAUUAAGCUUGGUAUAAGCUUACUUGUAUAUGUGCAUUUAAUCUUGGUGUGAAUAUGUUUAUAUAAAGUUGUU